This 408-nucleotide ribosomal RNA is filed under the name Griffithsia sp. ARS-2011. RNAcentral's name for it is "bacterial LSU rRNA". It matches the Rfam family "Bacterial large subunit ribosomal RNA", at positions 2079 to 2485 of the family's 2925-position model. Lineage: Eukaryota; Rhodophyta; Florideophyceae; Ceramiales; Ceramiaceae. The record is from RNAcentral.
GACAGAAAGACCCUAUGAAGCUUUACUGUAGCUUGGAAUUGAAUUUGGGUUUAUUUUGCGCAGUAUAGGUGGGAGGCUUAGAUCGUAUAUUUGCGGAUAUAAAGGAGCCAAAAGUGAGAUACCACUCUAAUUAAACUAGAAUUCUAAUCUUAAUGCCGUUAUCCGGCUAAGAAACAGUUUCAGGUGGGCAGUUUGACUGGGGCGGUCGCCUCCUAAAAAGUAACGGAGGCGUGCAAAGGUUUCCUCAGGCUGGUCGGAAAUCAGUCGUAGAGUGUAAAGGCAAAAGGAAGCUUGACUGCAAGACCUACAAGUCGAGCAGAGACGAAAGUCGGCCUUAGUGAUCCGACAGUACUGAGUGGAAAGGCUGUCGCUCAACGGAUAAAAGUUACUCUAGGGAUAACAGGCUGA